GACGAACGCUGGCGGCGUGCUUAACACAUGCAAGUCGAACGGAAAGGCCCUGCUUUUGUGGGGUGCUCGAGUGGCGAACGGGUGAGUAACACGUGAGUAACCUGCCCUUGACUUUGGGAUAACUUCAGGAAACUGGGGCUAAUACCGGAUAGGAGCUCCUGCUGCAUGGUGGGGGUUGGAAAGUUUCGGCGGUUGGGGAUGGACUCGCGGCUUAUCAGCUUGUUGGUGGGGUAGUGGCUUACCAAGGCUUUGACGGGUAGCCGGCCUGAGAGGGUGACCGGGCACAAUGGGACUGAGAUACGGCCCAGACUCCUACGGGAGGCAGCAGUGGGGAAUAUUGCACAAUGGGCGGAAGCCUGAUGGAGCAACGCCGCGUGCGGGAUGACGGCCUUCGGGUUGGAAACCGCUUUCGCCUGGGACGAAGCGUGAGUGACGGUAAUGGGUAAAGAAGCACCGGCUAACUACGUG
This 468-nucleotide ribosomal RNA is filed under the name uncultured bacterium. Its description in RNAcentral is "partial 16S ribosomal RNA". It matches the Rfam family "Bacterial small subunit ribosomal RNA", at positions 28 to 507 of the family's 1533-position model. The record is from RNAcentral.